Molecule: ribosomal RNA, 939 nt
Filed under: uncultured bacterium
Lineage: Bacteria
Description: bacterial SSU rRNA
Rfam family: Bacterial small subunit ribosomal RNA
Source: RNAcentral
CGGGUUGUUAAGUAAGGAGUGAAAUCCUGGAGCUCAACUCCAGAACCGCCUAUAAUACUGGCAAUCUCGAGUCCGAGAGAGGUGACUCGAACUGCGAGUGUAGAGGUGAAAUUCGUAGAUAUUCGCAAGAACACCAGUGGCGACGGCGGCUCACUGACCCGGUAGUGACGCUGAGGUGAGAUAGCGUGGGGAGCAACCAGGAUUAGAUACCCUGGUAGUCCACGCCGUAAACGAUGGCUGCUAGCCGUUGGUGGGUUUACCGUUCAGUGCCGCAGCUAACGCGUUAGGCAUCCAGCUUGGGGAGUACUGUCGCAAGAUUAAAACUCAAAGGAAUUGACGGGGGUCCGCACUAGCGGUGGAGCAUGUGGUUCAAUUCGAAGCAACGCGAAGAACCUUACCAGCUUUUGACAUCUCGGUAGCGAGCACCAGAGAUGGAGCUCUUCAGUUCGGCUGGACUGGAGACAGGUGCUGCAUGGCUGUCGUCAGCUCGUGUCGUGAGAUGUUGGGUUAAGUCCCGCAACGAGCGCAACCCUCGCCAUUAGUUGCCAUCAUUUAGUUGGGCACUCUAAGGGGACUGCCGGUGAUAAGCUGGAGGAAGGUGGGGAUGACGUCAAGUCCUCAUGGCCCUUACAGGCUGGGCUACACACCUGCUACAAUGGCGGUGACAGAGGGAUGCAAAGGAGCAAUCCUUCGCAAAUCUCAAAAAGCCGUCUCAGUUCGGAUUGUGCUCUGCAACUCGAGCACAUGAAGUCGGAAUCGCUAGUAAUCGCAGAUCAGCACGCUGCGGUGAAUACGUUCCCGGGCCUUGUACACACCGCCCGUCACACCAUGGGAGUUGGCUUUACCUGAAGGCGGUGCGCUAACCCGCAAGGGAGGCAGCCGACCACGGUAGGGUCAGCGACUGGGGUGAAGUCGUAACAAGGUAGCCGUAGGGGAACC